Molecule: ribosomal RNA, 460 nt
Filed under: uncultured bacterium
Lineage: Bacteria
Description: partial 16S ribosomal RNA
Rfam family: Bacterial small subunit ribosomal RNA
Source: RNAcentral
CCUACGGGUGGCUGCAGUGAGGAAUAUUGGUCAAUGGACGAGAGUCUGAACCAGCCAAGUAGCGUGAAGGAUGACUGCCCUAUGGGCUGUAAACUUCUUUUAUAUGGGAAUAAAAUGUUCCACGUGUGGGAUUUUGUAUGUACCAUAUGAAUAAGGAUCGGCUAACUCCGUGCCAGCAGCCGCGGUAAUACGGAGGAUCCGAGCGUUAACCGGAUUUAUUGGGUGUAAAGGGAGCGGAGGUGGAUUGUUAAGUCAGUUGUGAAAGUUUGCGGCUCAACCGUCAAAUUGCAGUUGAAACUGGCAGUCUUGAGUACAGUAGAGGUGAGCGGAAUUCGUGGUGUAGCAGUGAAAUGCUUAGAUAUCACGAAGAACUCCGAGUGCGAAGGCAGCUAACUGGACUGCAACUGACACUGAGGCUCGAAAGUGUGGGUACCAAACAGGAUUAGAUACCCCGGUAGUC